RNAcentral lists this ribosomal RNA (467 nucleotides) under uncultured bacterium. RNAcentral's name for it is "partial 16S ribosomal RNA". It matches the Rfam family "Bacterial small subunit ribosomal RNA", at positions 28 to 507 of the family's 1533-position model. The record is from RNAcentral.
GACGAACGCUGGCGGCGUGCUUAACACAUGCAAGUCGAACGGAAAGGCCUCUUUCGGGGGGUACUCGCGUGGCGAACGGGUGAGUAACACGUGAGUAUCCUGCCCUUGACUUUGGGAUAACUUCAGGAAACUGGGGCUAAUACCGCAUAGGAGCUCCUGCUGCAUGGUGGGGGUUGUAGAGUUUCGGCGGGUGGGGGUGGACUCGCGGCGUAUCUGCUUGUUGGUGGGGUAUUGGGGUACCAAGGCUUUGACGGGUAGGCGGCCCGAGAGGGUGACCGGGCACAUUGGGAACGGGGUUCCGGCCAGAAUCCUACGGGGAGCCGGAGUGGGGAAUAAUGCACCAUGGGUCGGAGCCUGAUUCAGGCAAGGCCGGGGCGGGGAUACGGGCCUCCGGUUGUAAACCGGUUUCGCUCAGGAAGAAGCUGUGUGUGACGGUAGUGGGUAAAGAAGCACCGGCUAACUACGUG